Long non-coding RNA from Penaeus indicus, 1628 nucleotides. RefSeq lists it as uncharacterized. NCBI's taxonomy places the organism in Eukaryota, Metazoa, Arthropoda, Malacostraca, Decapoda, Penaeidae. The record is from RefSeq and is a predicted model, not a curated record. The transcript is spliced from 2 exons.
AUUCCUUCGGCUCCAGCGACACAUCCAGUGGAGAAUACUACGUCGCGAAGUUUGCCUUCGUCGCCACCAUCGACCAGGCGCUGAGCUUCAACCGCGGAGACACCAUCUUGGUCCACGACGUGACAAGCGGCACUGGGUGGUGGAGAGCGACACUCAAGGGACGCACCGGUCUCGUGCCCAGGGAGUACCUCAAGAAAAAGGAACAGUGAUCGAAAUUUCCAUUCUAAAAGACAGUGUCUCUCUCGUAUAUUUACAUUAAGUUGGUGUUAAGAUAUAAUUGUUAGAGAGAUAACUGGCUGUUUUGUUAUGUCACUGUCACAGCUGGUCUGGUAUAUUCACACAGUACAAAACAGAAAAUGAUAGCAAGAUGUUCGUAUGCAGUUCAUAGAGAAAUGUGAAAGUGUAUGUUGUCAGUUAGACACCAUGUGAGAAGUGUGAAAGGAUUUCUGUAUUGAGUAUCAUUUGCUCUCUCAGUAAGCUAAGUUCCAUGGUGCCUUACAGAUACUGUAUCUAAAAGCUGAAAAAGUUCUGGUAACAAGGUGCAGUGCAGAGAAUGUCAUGUACAUAGAUGUGGUGAGACUGUGCAUGUGUCUUUUAAUUAUUAUGCAUACAUCUAUUAUCUCAUGCUGUGCUUUUCUACAAUGAAUAAUAUUUAUUCAGGCAUUCCAAAGAACUAAAUACUCGUAGAUUACAGCUUGCUGGGAAAAAUGGAGUAAUGAAACUUUUAUAAAUUUUUGUUAACUAGUUUCAUUACGAAAGUUAAUUCCGAUUGGUGUCAUACAUUCUAAAGAAGAACACAUACAAGCUGAAAAACACACACACAAAACCUGCCUUUGGAGAUGUUGGUAUAGCAAUAUAGCAGUGACAUUUUUCAAAGCAGUGAGGAAGACAACCAAAACAAGGGAUUCGUGUAAAUACCUGCAGACCUUCAACAUGCAAAGAAGCUGAAAGUGUCCGAUUUUCUUCCUAGUCAGAGGAUAUUCCUGUUCUCUCUUUCCUCGUCUCACAAUAUUCAAUGCAUGCCCGUCACAAUAAGUAAAAUGUCCACUGUGUAUCUCUUUGUAUGUGUAUCCCUAUUGUAUUAUAUACCAAAGAAUCUUCAGCACAUACUAGAUUCCUGAAAUGCCGAAUCUUGUUAGAAAAAUCUUGUGAGACUAUCGAGAAAAAAAUAUAUGAUAUGGAUUUGAAUACUUUACCAAUUUUCUUUUUUUUCAUGAGUGAUGUCGAUACAUAAUGUAUAUGGUGCUUGUAGUUGUCAAGGUUACAUGCUACAUAUGUUUCCGAGAUGAAACACAAUAAUUAGGAUAAUUAAUGUAUGGUAAUAUCGAUGAAUUCUGACAUACAUAAUUUUGUCAACAAUUUAUGUAUUAGAUUUUGUAAUUUUGUCUAGAUAAGCUUGUAUAUUUUAUUAAGUAGACCGAUAUUAUUUGUAAAUCCUUUUCAAUAGUGAACUUGUUAUUUUUAUGCAUUUUGUCACAUUGCUAUGAGUCUCAACUAGUCUGCAAUGCCAAAUAUAUUAAUGUACGAUAUGAUGCAAUAGGCUGAUUGAAUUAUUGGUAUUAUCUGUAGUUAAAUCAUGCCAAAAACUCAUUAUGUACUGGAUACACUGCAAUAAAAGAAUCUAUGAA